CCACGCCGUAAACGAUGAGUGCUAGGUGUCGGGGGUCAAACCUCGGUGCCGACGUUAACACAUUAAGCACUCCGCCUGGGGAGUACGUGCGCAAGCAUGAAACUCAAAGGAAUUGACGGGGACCCGCACAAGCAGCGGAGCAUGUGGUUUAAUUCGAAGCAACGCGAAGAACCUUACCAGGGCUUGACAUAUGCAUGACCGGUGUAGAGAUACACCCUUCUCUUCGGAGACGUGUAUACAGGUGGUGCAUGGUUGU
RNAcentral lists this ribosomal RNA (256 nucleotides) under uncultured bacterium. RNAcentral's name for it is "partial 16S ribosomal RNA". It matches the Rfam family "Bacterial small subunit ribosomal RNA", at positions 795 to 1052 of the family's 1533-position model. The record is from RNAcentral.